AACGAACGCUGGCGGCAGGCCUAACACAUGCAGGUCGAGCGAGCAUUUCGGUGCUAGCGGCGGACGGGUGAGUAACGCGUGGGAACGUGCCCUUUUCUGCGGAAUAGUCCUGGGAAACUGGGGGUAAUACCGCAUACGCCCUUUUGGGGAAAGAUUUAUCGGAGAAGGAUCGGCCCGCGUUGGAUUAGGUAGUUGGUGGGGUAAUGGCCCACCAAGCCGACGAUCCAUAGCUGGUUUGAGAGGAUGAUCAGCCACACUGGGACUGAGACACGGCCCAGACUCCUACGGGAGGCAGCAGUGGGGAAUCUUAGACAAUGGGGGCAACCCUGAUCUAGCCAUGCCGCGUGAGUGAUGAAGGCCUUAGGGUUGUAAAGCUCUUUCAGCUGGGAAGAUAAUGACGGUACCAGCAGAAGAAGCCCCGGCUAACUCCGUG
Molecule: ribosomal RNA, 433 nt
Filed under: uncultured bacterium
Lineage: Bacteria
Description: partial 16S ribosomal RNA
Rfam family: Bacterial small subunit ribosomal RNA
Source: RNAcentral